This 407-nucleotide ribosomal RNA is filed under the name uncultured bacterium. RNAcentral describes it as "partial 16S ribosomal RNA". It matches the Rfam family "Bacterial small subunit ribosomal RNA", at positions 30 to 526 of the family's 1533-position model. The record is from RNAcentral.
AUUGAACGCUGGCGGCAGGCCUAACACAUGCAAGUCGAGCGGAGCGGCGGACGGGUGAGUAAUGCCUAGGAAUCUGCCUGGUAGUGGGGGAUAACGUCCGGCAACGGACGCUAAUACCGCAUACUCUCAGAUGAGCCUAGAUCGGAUUAGCUAGUUGGUGGGGUAAAGGCUUACCAACGCGACGAUCCGUAACUGGUCUGAGAGGAUGAUCAGUCACACUGGGACUGAGACACGGUCCAGACUCCUACGGGAGGCAGCAGUGGGGAAUAUUGGACAAUGGGCGCAAGCCUGAUACAGCCAUGCCGCGUGUGUGAAGAAGGUCUUAGGAUUGUAAAGUACUUUAAGUUGGGAGGCGUUACCAACAGAAUAAGCACCGGCUAACUUCGUGCCAGCAGCCGCGGUAAUUC